GGAGAGGUGCUCGAGUGGCUUAAGAGGCACGCCUGGAAAGCGUGUAGGCGCCAAAAGCGCCACGGGGGUUCGAAUCCCCCUCUCUCCG
RNAcentral lists this transfer RNA (88 nucleotides) under Candidatus Prevotella stercoripullorum. Its description in RNAcentral is "tRNA-Ser". It matches the Rfam family "tRNA". From Rfam's summary of the family: Transfer RNA (tRNA) molecules are approximately 80 nucleotides in length. Their secondary structure includes four short double-helical elements and three loops (D, anti-codon, and T loops). Lineage: Bacteria; Pseudomonadati; Bacteroidota; Bacteroidia; Bacteroidales; Prevotellaceae. The record is from RNAcentral.